RNAcentral lists this ribosomal RNA (528 nucleotides) under uncultured Glomeromycotina. RNAcentral's name for it is "SSU rRNA". It matches the Rfam family "Eukaryotic small subunit ribosomal RNA", at positions 569 to 1092 of the family's 1831-position model. Lineage: Eukaryota; Fungi; Glomeromycota. The record is from RNAcentral.
AGCAGCCGCGGUAAUUCCAGCUCCAAUAGCGUAUAUUAAAGUUGUUGCAGUUAAAAAGCUCGUAGUUGAAUUUCGGGAUUUGCACAUCGGUCGUGCCUUAAGGGGUAUGAACUGGUGUAGUGAAUUUCUCACCUUCUGGAGAACCGUGAUGUCCUUAAUUGGGUGCCACGAGGAACCAGGACCUUUACUUUGAAAAAAUUAGAGUGUUUAAAGCAGGCAUUUUUGCUUGAAUACAUUAGCAUGGAAUAAUAAAAUAGGACGGCAUGAUUCUAUUUUGUUGGUUUCUAGGAUCACCGUAAUGAUUAAUAGGGAUAGUUGGGGGCAUUAGUAUUCAAUUGUCAGAGGUGAAAUUCUUGGAUUUAUUGAAGACUAACUACUGCGAAAGCAUUUGCCAAGGAUGUUUUCAUUAAUCAAGAACGAAAGUUAGGGGAUCGAAGACGAUCGGAUACCGUCGUAGUCUUAACCAUAAACUAUGCCGACUAGGAAUCAGACGAUGUUAUUUUUUAAUGACUCGUUUGGCACCUUACG